GGAGAUUGAGGCAGAAAAAGAGUUUGUAAUAGUCAAGGCAUUUUGACUGAAAUGCAGAGAAACCUGAAUUCGAAGAACUGCCUUUUAGUGAUUGUGUCCAAUGAUACUUGAAAAUACCCGGAACAAAUGCAUAGAAAAACUCAGCGUUCUGCUUAAAAAUGAAGAAGUCGUGACACCUAGCGCAAAUCUCUGAUGCUCAUGGGACUGUUCCAAGUUCAACAAAAUUUCAUUUUCUGAAGAUUAUAAGAUUCCUCCAACUCCAGUCAAGAUCUUGAGCCAGAGGGAGGUCCAGUUUGCAUAAAACUAAAGCGCUGCCACAGGCA
Molecule: long non-coding RNA, 323 nt
Organism: Neopelma chrysocephalum (saffron-crested tyrant-manakin)
Lineage: Eukaryota; Metazoa; Chordata; Aves; Passeriformes; Pipridae
Exons: 3
Source: RefSeq, a predicted model, not a curated record